This 3689-nucleotide unclassified non-coding RNA is filed under the name Bactrocera latifrons. RNAcentral describes it as "uncharacterized LOC108975158, transcript variant X6". Lineage: Eukaryota; Metazoa; Arthropoda; Insecta; Diptera; Tephritidae. The record is from RNAcentral.
AAGGAAUAGUAAACGAAGAAAGCAAACGCAAAAGUGGAAUGUGAGUGGACCAAUAUAGAAAUUUCAACAUAGUUUGUGUUGAACAAUACGGGAGUGAUGCAGUUAUAAUAAUAAUUCAAUAGAUCUGUGCACGUCUUCUCUAAAAUAAAGUUUGGUGCGUGAUGAAAUGCACAAAAAAUAAUUUGAAAAUGGAAAUAGAAAAAAGGCAGCUUGAACCGAGCAAUUGUAGUGGAGAUGCAGGAAUAACAAAUGUUUCCCUAAUGGCAACAAAUUCCGUAGAUAAAUCAGAUAUUGAAGUUGCGGAAGAUAUGAACAAAACUCAAAAUCAUAAAACCCAAUCUAAUAAAGAUGAAACAAGUGACGAAACAGCGAAGAAGCCUACACAUAAUUCAGCUAUCAAGACCAAUGAAGAAGAUUCAAAUAUGAAUGAGAAUAUAUCAGAUAUAUCGGUAAAACAACAAGAAGUCUUAUUAACAAAAGCCCCUGAAAGCAAUGAGUGCUCCNAAACUCCAAAGUUGGAAGAAAGUGUGAAUAAAAAUAGUCUUGAUUUUAAAGAGACCAAAAGUGUAGAAAAUUCAAAUGAUUUAAAUGAAUUUGAAGAUUCGCAAGAUGCUGUCGAGGAUGACGAAAGUCAGAAGGGAGAAGCAUCAACAGCUGACGAUGACAACAGUCUUUCGCCUUCAACACAAUCGCAAUCACCACCACUUAGAGAUACAAUAAUUGCGACAUCAAGUGCAUCCAUUGCUUCAGCAAUUGGGGUAGCAGCUUCCGUAGUUGUGGCGGCUGCCGGUAUAAGAGCUUCUAUUCCAGAUACAAUCUUAUCGCCACCCAAGUCAGAAACACAAACAGAUGAUGCAAACACCGCUACAUCAUCCUCAUCACCAGCAUCGGAUUCUCAGCUCUCGCCGAUGAUUACCGAGGCCUCUAUUGCGAGCAGUGCAGCACUUACCCCAACUACACCACCAGAAGCACCAGAAAUGUCUGUCUCAAAUAAUAGUGGAGAGUCAACACCGUCUAAGACAGCUACCAAGAGGGGUGCCCCUGAUAUUGACUCAGUUGCGGAAGGUGGUGGCAAACGCGUUAUACAACCGAUUAAUCUUGUUGCAAAUGGCACCAUACCCAAAUCUAGUGGGAAACCGCUAAUGUCGGCCAUGAAUAAAAAAUUGAAAGAAAAAACUAUACGUGCACCACGACAAAGGAAACAAAAAUCUACGUUGCCUAUGUACGAAAGCGAGAUAAGCGACAAUAAAACGGGAAUUAAAUUAUGUAUAAAGAAAUCAGAUUCGACCGGCAAUUUGGCUGCUUCAACAGGUAUUUUAGUACCAACCGUCACAGCGAAAUUGGUGGAGACUACAACAACUACUGCUCCUAAGCAGACGCGCAAACGUUCCCGCAAAACGAAAUCAAAGGCACGCGUCGAUGACGACGAAAGUGAGCCUGAGGUAACGACGGUAAAGCGCGGGAAGAAUAAGGCCAGCAAUGCAGAACGUCAGAAGAAAGUCUCUUUUAGUGGCAUCGAAGAACAAGGCGAGAAACAUCGCGCCACAAUUGAGCAAGGCGAUUGGGGCGCACGCAUCCCACAGGAAAUACUUUUUAAGAUUUUUGAAAUUCUAGUUGAUCGUGAAGGUUGUUUGCCAACACUUUGUCGACUUGGUCGUGUUUGUACACUGUGGCGAAAUGUCGCGCUAACGCCAUCUUUGUGGAAAACUAUGGAUCUAUCUACGUGGAUAAAGGAUAAAUAUCGCACCGAACUCAAGCUAAAAUGGUUUGUAGACAAUCGAUGCAGCGAGUGCACAGAAUUGAAUGUUGCUAACUGGAAAAUGUCAGAUAUAAACUGCUUUCUAAACAAAUUGGCGGUCGGUUGUCCAAAUUUAACNAGCAUUACUCUGUCAGGUUGGAAAGGUUUCACUUCAGAUCAUUUGGCUUAUUUAGCCGAAAAUAUGCAAAAACUGGAACGCCUUGAUUUGAGUUCUGUUAAUGUGGAAAUGAACGCGAGCAAGAGCGCAGUGGGCCCACAAUCGCUGUGCAAUGCAUUACAAAUAAUGAAUAAACGUUUAACGCAUCUCUAUUUGGCACAUAAUCGGCUGGCCGGGAUCCCACAAAUAGUCGCUACUUUGGCUACACAUUGCCCCAAUUUGGUGAANUUAGAUCUCUCAAAUGUUACAACACAAGCGACUUCACACGGCAUCUUUCACAUUGAAAAGCUUCAGCANGGCUGCCCGAAAUUAAAAGUGCUACGAGUCACGAAUUCACACAUAACAUGGGGGAAUGCAACACUGCAAGAAGCGAUGGAUUCGCCUGGUUUCCCAGAGCUUGAGGAACUUUCGGUGGCAGCUUUAACGGAUGAAUGUCGUGUUAUCGGUGAUGACCAUUUGCAGCGCAUANUGAAAACCAGUUCGAAACUGAAGCUCUUGGAUGUGCGCGGUUGCGCACGACUCACACACGAAAGUCUUAUACGNCUACCAGCAUGGGACAUCAAGCAUUUAUUUUUGUCAUUUUGCUCAGUGACACGUGAUGUGGGCUCCGGCCUCGAGUUGAUCGCCUCAAAAUGGGCUCAUAGUCUUAUUGAAUUAGAUUUAGCUUGGGCGAAUGUGCAGCAACCACUUGACAAUGCAUUACGUGCAUUGGCCGAAAAGGGCAGCGAAUCGCCAUUAGCGCAUUUGAAUCUCUGUGGCUCGUCGGUUUCAGAUGAAGCAGUCAAGGAAAUACUUGCAAACUGUGCGCACAUGAGUUCAAUAAAUCUGUCAUCGUGUCGUGGUUUACCGCGCGGUGUCAAGCGUCUUAUGCAAGGUCAGCAAGAGUUACAAGAACUGCGUGAAGUGCUUAAGGUGCAGAUGAAAGUGAAAUUGCCCGCUCAAAUAAAGCAGGAGCAAGAGGAGGAAGAGCGACGGAAGCGCUCCGAACAAUGCGGCGCAACUGCUGAUGCUGAUAGCGGUGGUGGUGGCAGUAAUGUUCAAUCUAAUUGAAAUAAUGCCGUUACAUCACACAAAAUUAAAAAGCAAAAACUGUGCGUUAAUAUGAAAAAAUAAUGAGUAACAAAAAAAAAAAUUAUUUUUAACACAUGGAUUAUAAAUUUGUAGCUUAAACUAAAACUAUGAACGCGAAGAAUAACUUCAAUUAAUAUUAGAUUUCAUUAUGGAGUAUGACCUUUUCAGUUUUACUAUUAUUAGCACAUUCAAAAGAAGAUGUUCUGCUGCUGGUGGCAGAAAGACAUUAAAUUUACGUAGCUUCCAAAUUAAACACGGAAUUGUGUAACUAUUAUGUCAUUUGGCACUACUUUAUAACUUAACUUUUAUAUAUUCCUACAUUUAAGUAAGACUUUAAGUCACCGCUUAAUACUUGAUUUCUAUUUUUAUUUGGUCACAUUCAUACAAUUAUAUAUACAUUUGCAAUAUACAUUUACACCUAUAGUCACUGGAAUCCCCGCUAGUGUUAAUUUUUUAGUAAUACAAUUUGGAAAUGUUUAAGAAAAGAAUGUAUUAAGUUUCGUUUACAGUUAUAAUUGCUACGAAUUUGCAGUGAAAUUAAAAUAUUUUUUGUUACUUUAAAAAAUAUAUGUAAAAACGUAAACAUUGCAAAGAAAAUUAUGUUAUUACAUGUAAAAUAUUAAGAUUAAAUUAAGCGAAAAUAUCGAUUUAUUCGAUAAAAAUUAUCGAACGUUAUGAAAUCAGUCAGUUAUUUACAUAUAU